CUCAGUGUCCUGGUUCCUGCAGCGGCAGCAACAGCAGGUCCUACUAUCGCCUCCCUCUAGUCUCUGCUUCUCUGGAUCCCUGAGGAGGGCAGAAGUGAUUCUGGUUCUUGGACAAGGUGUUGAGGAACACUAGAAACAGAGGGGACUGUGACCUGGGGACUUUUUCUGCAGGAAGAAAACAGCCCAAAGAUGAGAGUGAUUCGCGUGGGUACCCGCAAGAGCCAGCUUGCUCGCAUACAGACGGACAGUGUGGUGACAACAUUGAAAGCCUCAUACCCUGGCCUGCAGUUUGAAAUCAUUGCUAUGUCCACCACAGGGGACAAGAUUCUUGAUACUGCACUCUCUAAGAUUGGAGAGAAAAGCCUGUUUACCAAGGAGCUUGAACAUGCCCUGGAGAAGAAUGAAGUGGACCUGGUUGUUCACUCCUUGAAGGACCUGCCCACUGUGCUUCCUCCUGGCUUCACCAUCGGAGCCAUCUGCAAGCGGGAAAACCCUCAUGAUGCUGUUGUCUUUCACCCAAAAUUUGUUGGGAAGACCCUAGAAACCCUGCCAGAGAAGAGUGUGGUGGGAACCAGCUCCCUGCGAAGAGCAGCCCAGCUGCAGAGAAAGUUCCCGCAUCUGGAGUUCAGGAGUAUUCGGGGAAACCUCAACACCCGGCUUCGGAAGCUGGACGAGCAGCAGGAGUUCAGUGCCAUCAUCCUGGCAACAGCUGGCCUACAGCGCAUGGGCUGGCACAACCGGGUGGGGCAGAUCCUGCACCCUGAGGAAUGCAUGUAUGCUGUGGGCCAGGUACACUUGACCAGGGAAGCCACAUGGUGACAUAUGCCUUCCCUUUGUUCUCAACCAAGAAGCUUGUCUCACAACCUUCUGCAUCUGCUUCCC
Molecule: small RNA, 882 nt
Filed under: Pan troglodytes (chimpanzee)
Lineage: Eukaryota; Metazoa; Chordata; Mammalia; Primates; Hominidae
Description: retained intron
Source: RNAcentral